UUUUUCUUAUUCACUGAAAAUUGAUUCCAGAUUCUUGAAAUUUUGCAAAAUCUUAGUAGCUUUUGAUGUUAAUUUGGAUGCAGAAACAAAUAUUGACAUGAUAAUUUGGGUCAAGUCAUGAUGGUGAUAUAGUUAGGUUCUGGGUUGAAGUUUACUACUAUUACUCUCUUUUUAUUUUGUGCGCAAUUUGAAAUAUGAGAAGAUUGCGAUUAUGUGAAAAAUUCCCUGAGUGUAUCUGUCCAGUCUGUUGGAGUUGUUAAUCUC
Molecule: long non-coding RNA, 264 nt
Filed under: Aquilegia coerulea
Lineage: Eukaryota; Viridiplantae; Streptophyta; Magnoliopsida; Ranunculales; Ranunculaceae
Description: long non-coding RNA (ACOE_LNC000782)
Source: RNAcentral